GGGCGAUUAGCUCAGGGGUAGAGCGCCUCCCUUACAAGGAGGAGGUCGCUGGUUCGAAACCAGCAUCGCCCA
Molecule: transfer RNA, 72 nt
Filed under: Rubrobacteraceae bacterium
Lineage: Bacteria; Bacillati; Actinomycetota; Rubrobacteria; Rubrobacterales; Rubrobacteraceae
Also listed under: 2 other names
Description: tRNA-Val
Rfam family: tRNA
About the family: Transfer RNA (tRNA) molecules are approximately 80 nucleotides in length. Their secondary structure includes four short double-helical elements and three loops (D, anti-codon, and T loops). Further hydrogen bonds mediate the characteristic L-shaped molecular structure. tRNAs have two regions of fundamental functional importance: the anti-codon, which is responsible for specific mRNA codon recognition, and the 3' end, to which the tRNAs corresponding amino acid is attached (by aminoacyl-tRNA synthetases). tRNAs cope with the degeneracy of the genetic code in two manners: having more than one tRNA (with a specific anti-codon) for a particular amino acid; and 'wobble' base-pairing, i.e. permitting non-standard base-pairing at the 3rd anti-codon position.
Source: RNAcentral